GAUGAACGCUGGCGGCGUGCCUAAUACAUGCAAGUCGAGCGAACGGACGAGAAGCUUGCUUCUCUGAUGUUAGCGGCGGACGGGUGAGUAACACGUGGAUAACCUACCUAAGACUGGGAUAACUUCGGGAAACCGGAGCUAAUACCGGAUAAUAUUUUGAACCGCAUGGUUCAAAAGUGAAAGACGGUCUUGCUGUCACUUAUAGAUGGAUCCACGCUGCAUUAGCUAGUUGGUAAGGUAACGGCUUGCCAAGGCAACGAUGCAUAGCCGACCUGAGAGGGUGAUCGGCCACACUGGAACUGAGACACGGUCCAGACUCCUACGGGAGGCAGCAGUAGGGAAUCUUCCGCAAUGGGCGAAAGCCUGACGGAGCAACGCCGCGUGAGUGAUGAAGGUCUUCGGAUCGUAAAACUCUGUUAUUAGGGAAGAACAUAUGUGUAAGUAACUGUGCACAUCUUGACGGUACCUAAUCAGAAAGCCACGGCUAACUACGUG
Molecule: ribosomal RNA, 495 nt
Filed under: uncultured bacterium
Lineage: Bacteria
Description: partial 16S ribosomal RNA
Rfam family: Bacterial small subunit ribosomal RNA
Source: RNAcentral